RNAcentral lists this microRNA (20 nucleotides) under Corchorus olitorius. RNAcentral describes it as "mmu-miR-466i-". RNAcentral also lists the same sequence under 1 other name. The record is from RNAcentral. Lineage: Eukaryota; Viridiplantae; Streptophyta; Magnoliopsida; Malvales; Malvaceae.
UUUGUGUGUGUGUGUGUGUG